GAUGAAGAACGUAGCUAAAUGCGAUACUUGGUGUGAAUUGCAGAAUCCCGUGAACCAUCGAGUCUUUGAACGCAAGUUGCGCCCGAAGCCAUUAGGCCGAGGGCACGCCUGCCUGGGCGUCACACGUCGUUGCCCCCCCAUCUACUCCUUCGGGAUUGCGGGGGGCGGAUGAUGGCCUCCCGUGCGCCUCGUCGCGCGGUUGGCAUAAAUACCAAGUCCUCGGCGACGCACGCCACGACAAUCGGUGGUUGCGAAACCUCGGUUGCCCGUCGUGUGCGGUCGUCGCGCAUCGAGGGCUCGAAAAAAUUGCCGGGCUCCGGCUCGGCUUUCAACGCGACCCCAGGUCAGGCGGGGUUACCCGCUGAAUUUAAGCAUAUCAAUAAGCGGAGGA
Molecule: unclassified non-coding RNA, 391 nt
Filed under: soil metagenome
Description: partial contains 5.8S ribosomal RNA, internal transcribed spacer 2, and large subunit ribosomal RNA
Rfam family: 5.8S ribosomal RNA (bases 1-122)
Source: RNAcentral